This 76-nucleotide transfer RNA is filed under the name Candidatus Kaiserbacteria bacterium GWA2_50_9. RNAcentral's name for it is "tRNA-His". It matches the Rfam family "tRNA". From Rfam's summary of the family: Transfer RNA (tRNA) molecules are approximately 80 nucleotides in length. Their secondary structure includes four short double-helical elements and three loops (D, anti-codon, and T loops). The record is from RNAcentral. Lineage: Bacteria; Candidatus Kaiseribacteriota.
GUGGUCGUAGCUCAAUUGGUAGAGCAUCUGCCUGUGGCGCAGAAGGUUGUGGGAUCGUGACCCAUCGACCACCCCA